AACGAUGCGAUGAGAAAGAAUAGUACAUGUUGCGAUUGCCUCCAGAGAGCUUGUGGGUGGUGGGAACAAGCGGCUAGCAAUAUGGAAUGGGCUUUUGAGCAUCCGGCUGAAGCAAAGUAGGCUUGGACGUUUGCCUUACGUUACAAAGGUACCAUCUGCUUGUGUCAGAUGGAACGGAGUGAUUGCGCGCGUACCGCGCAAUAACUAGGGUGGCAACACGGUUCUAUCGUCCCUAAC
This 237-nucleotide non-coding RNA is filed under the name Anoxybacteroides amylolyticum. RNAcentral describes it as "Anoxybacillus amylolyticus T-box sequence". It matches the Rfam family "T-box leader". Rfam says of the family: Uncharged tRNA acts as the effector for transcription antitermination of genes in the T-box leader family. T-boxes are found upstream of many aminoacyl-tRNA synthetase genes and some amino acid biosynthetic genes usually in Gram-positive bacteria. The anticodon of a specific tRNA base pairs to a specifier sequence within the T-box motif, and the NCCA acceptor tail of the tRNA base pairs to a conserved bulge in the T-box antiterminator hairpin. Lineage: Bacteria; Bacillati; Bacillota; Bacilli; Caryophanales; Anoxybacillaceae. The record is from RNAcentral.